Molecule: ribosomal RNA, 783 nt
Filed under: Raspailia vestigifera
Lineage: Eukaryota; Metazoa; Porifera; Demospongiae; Axinellida; Raspailiidae
Description: eukaryotic LSU rRNA
Rfam family: Eukaryotic large subunit ribosomal RNA
Source: RNAcentral
GCUCGCAGCGGUUCUGACGUGCAAAUCGAUCGUCAAAUUUGGGUAUAGGGGCGAAAGACUAAUCGAACCGUCUAGUAGCUGGUUCCCUCCGAAGUUUCCCCCAGGAUAGCUGGAGCCCGGUGCAGUUUUAUCAGGUAAAGCGAAUGAUUAGAGGUCUUGGGGUUGAAACAACCUCAACCUAUUCUCAAACUUUAAAUGGGUAAGAAGCUCGGCUUGCUCGGUUGAAGUCGGGCGUUGGAAUGCCGGGGCUCCUAGUGGGGCAUUUUUGGUAAGCAGAACUGGCGAUGCGGGAUGAACCGAACGUCGGGUUAAGGUGCCCGAAUCGACGCUCAUCAAAUCCCAUAAAAGGUGUUGGUUGAUUUAUACAGCAGGACGGUGGCCAUGGAAGUCGGAAUCCGCUAAGGAGUGUGUAACAACUCACCUGCCGAAUCAACUAGCCCUGAAAAUGGAUGGCGCUGAAGCGUCGUACCCAUACCCGGCCGUCGGGGCGAGCGUUCUGCCCCGACUAGUACGAGGGCGCGGCGGUGGCCGUGCAUCCCGAGGCGCGAGCCUGGGCGAAGCCGCCGCCGGUGCAGAUCUUGGUGGUAGUAGCUAAUAUUCAUAUGAGGGGUUUGAAGACUGAAGUGGAGAAGGGUUCCAUGUAACCAUCUGUUGGACAUGUGUUAGUCAAUCCUAAGAGGUGGGAGAGGUCCCGCGGCGAUGGCGCGAUCGCUUCGGCGAGUGCGCCGCGACUCGAAAGGGAAUCAGGUUAACAUUCCCGAAACGGGAUGCGGAUGGGCCCUC